This is a non-coding RNA of Candidatus Bathyarchaeota archaeon RBG_13_60_20, 77 nucleotides long. NCBI's taxonomy places the organism in Archaea, Thermoproteati, Candidatus Bathyarchaeota. The record is from Rfam.
GAGCCCGCGACCUAAAUACGGUUAAAGAUGUCUGAUUGGUAAUCAGCUGAUCAUGAGUUCAAAUCUCAUCGGAUCCA